CAAAAAGAUGGUGUUAUUUUUUUAGGUAAUAAAAUUAUUUUGGAAUAUUAUUAUUCUAGUAGAUUUAAUCGAAAGAAAAAAGAAAAGAGUUAUAGAGUAGAGUACUGUAAAGGAAAGAUGAAAUAAAUUGAAAAUUAAAUUAAUAAAUAGUAGAAUUUAAUAUUCGUACCUUGUGUAUUAGGGGAAAUCAAAAUAAUCUUAUUAUAAAAGAUAUCCCGAAAAAAAAAGAGCUAAUAUAACCAUAUAGUUUUCGUAUUAAUGAAAUUAUAAAGUUUAUUUUAGUAGUGAAAUGCUAAUCGAUUUUUUAUAUCUGGUUAUUAAUGAAUUAAAUUAAAUUUAGUUGCUUUAAGGUAGAUAAAACUAUAAUGCAAUAAAGAGUAGGAGGGAAAAGCUUCUUAUUCUAUAAUAGGUAAAUUAUGACAACAAAAGUAAAAUAUUAUUGAAUUAGGCUUAAAAACAGCCAUAUUAAUAAAACGUUCUAGUUAAUGUAAUAGUAUAAAACAUAAUAUUUUAAUAGGUAAAGUCUGAUGUUAGGUAAUUAAUGUUCUUGAAAAUUAAUAUAUCAAAAGUCAUAAUGAUUUUAUUAGUAGAAAUGAAAUGUGAGAAAGGGAAAGUUGAAUAAAAAUAAAAUUUUUAAGUUUCUGAAAAUAUAAUUAAGGAACUCGGCAAACAAUACUUUUGCCUGUUUAUCAAAAACAUGUCUAUAUGAUUGUUAUAUAAAGUCUAGCCUGCCCACUGAUUGAAAUUUAAAGGGCCGCGGUAUACUGACCGUGCGAAGGUAGCAUAAUCAUUAGUCUUUUAAUUGAAGGCUUGUAUGAAUGGUUGGACAAAAAGUAAGCUGUCUCAGUUAUAAUAAUUGAAUUUAACUUUUAAGUGAAAAGGCUUAAAUGGAUUAAGGGGACGAUAAGACCCUAUAAAGCUUGACAAUAAGUUAAUUAUAUUAUAAAUUGUUAGUAUAACUUGAUUUUAAUUGACGUUUGUUACGUUGGGGCGACGAGAAUAUAAUGAGUAACUGUUCUUAAAUGUUUAUUGACAAAUAUAAUUGGUAUUUGAUUGAUCCUUUAUUAAAGAUUAAAAGAUUAAGUUACUUUAGGGAUAACAGCGUAAUCUUCUUUGAGAGUUCAUAUCGACAAGAAGGUUUGCGACCUCGAUGUUGAAUUAAGGUAUCCUUAUGAUGCAGCAGUUAUAAAGGAAGGUCUGUUCGACCUUUAAAUCCUUACAUGAUUUGAGUUCAGACCGGCGUGAGCCAGGUCGGUUUCUAUCUCUUAAUUUUAUAAAAGGUACCUUAGUACGAAAGGAUUGGGUAACUGAAAUAAUUUUUGUUAAAUAUGAUUAAGCGUAAUUUACUU
Molecule: ribosomal RNA, 1349 nt
Filed under: Penaeus semisulcatus
Lineage: Eukaryota; Metazoa; Arthropoda; Malacostraca; Decapoda; Penaeidae
Description: 16S ribosomal RNA
Rfam family: Archaeal large subunit ribosomal RNA (bases 637-1349)
Source: RNAcentral